RNAcentral lists this microRNA precursor (139 nucleotides) under Nicotiana sylvestris (wood tobacco). RNAcentral also lists the same sequence under 1 other name. The record is from RNAcentral. Lineage: Eukaryota; Viridiplantae; Streptophyta; Magnoliopsida; Solanales; Solanaceae.
AGGUUACGAAAUGCAGCCAAGGAUGACUUGCCGGCAAGAUCGAUCAAUUCUGCUCGAUCGAGUACUUUGUAGUUCUCAACUGAAGAGUGGAGAUUAUCAUUUUGAUUGGCAAGUCAUUUUUGGCUACGUUUCUGCCUCA